This 452-nucleotide ribosomal RNA is filed under the name uncultured organism. RNAcentral's name for it is "partial 16S ribosomal RNA". It matches the Rfam family "Bacterial small subunit ribosomal RNA", at positions 333 to 801 of the family's 1533-position model. The record is from RNAcentral.
ACACUCCUACGGGAGGCAGCAGUGGGGAAUAUUGGACAAUGGGCGCAAGCCUGAUCCAGCCAUGCCGCGUGAGUGAUGAAGGCCCUAGGGUUGUAAAGCUCUUUCACCGGUGAAGAUAAUGACGGUAACCGGAGAAGAAGCCCCGGCUAACUUCGUGCCAGCAGCCGCGGUAAUACGAAGGGGGCUAGCGUUGUUCGGAUUUACUGGGCGUAAAGCGCACGUAGGCGGACUAUUAAGUCAGGGGUGAAAUCCCGGGGCUCAACCCCGGAACUGCCUUUGAUACUGGUAGUAUUGAGUUCGAGAGAGGUGAGUGGAAUUCCGAGUGUAGAGGUGAAAUUCGUAGAUAUUCGGAGGAACACCAGUGGCGAAGGCGGCUCACUGGCUCGAUACUGACGCUGAGGUGCGAAAGCGUGGGGAGCAAACAGGAUUAGAUACCCCAGUAGUCCCAUGAU